Molecule: long non-coding RNA, 884 nt
Organism: Entelurus aequoreus (snake pipefish)
Lineage: Eukaryota; Metazoa; Chordata; Actinopteri; Syngnathiformes; Syngnathidae
Exons: 3
Source: RefSeq, a predicted model, not a curated record
UCCUCGCGUCAUGUGAAUGAGAAGAAGCUAACGAAGCUGACAGGGCGAAAUAACCGCGACAUUUGCCACACAAACUUACAGAAGUGAGUCUCUCUCCACACGCCAUUGCCCCGAGGUUACUUCUUGUGAGGAACUGGACCGCUGGAGGCCCGCUGGCUCUGAUGGCGGCCGAGGAACGCUCGCCGCUCUUGUCCGAGCACUUCGACGGGACAAACGGUUCUUCUUUUGGCGCUGCAUCUCGGACUCCUCUGUUGGCUGGCGGUACACCAGAAGAAGGAGCCUGCUAUGUUUCCUGGUCUUCGUUGUGGUCACCGCUACCACGGCAGGACUGAUGGUUGGAACGUGGCAACCUGCUCAGGACUCCAAAGGGAUCUAUGCCGCUUGGGUUCUGCUCAUCCUCAUCACCGUGUGCACCCUGGCAAGCGCCAUCCAUUGGAGGUGUUUGAAAAUUAGCCAGCCCAUUUCCAAUGUGACCUAGGAGCCCAGAUCUGUUUUUUUAAAUGCAUUUAUCAGCCAUUUUCAUAGUGACUCUUUUUAAACAAAUCCCAUGAGUGCAAGAUGACAAUUUCAGUAAAGAAGAGCUAAAUAAUAAUUUAUUUUCAAACAAUAUUCAGCAAGCACAAGUGUCUUCUUAAAGUGGGGGGCACAUUGAUGCAUUUUGUAAAUUAAAGAUCAAUUUAGGUCAAUGUAUGCUGAGAUAUCUGAACAAAACAUCCAUAUCUUAGAUUUGUGUUCUAAAACAAAGCAAAUUAGUGUAAAGUAUGUUUACAAAGUGUUUUCUGCCCUCUUGUGGCAGACUGUGAAACAUGUUUGUACUACUGCUGUUUAUUUCUACAUUGAUGGACAAGCGGUAGAAUGGAUGGCCAGAUGCAAAAGUAAAUAAU